AGUCUGAGGAAAUGUUGAAGGUGAGGAGGGUACCGGCUGAAACCAUGAAUGAGACAAAGUAGUUGGCAGAAGGAGGGAAGUGCCCCAGCCACAGGGACCCGUGAAUAAGAAUGCAGGGAGGCAGGCAGGAGGUGACAAACCUGAUCAGAAGGGCUGGACCUGAAAAGCAGUGACGUGAAGGAUGUGAAAUAAAUUUUGGAUGGAUAGAAUAGUAAGUUCCUUAGAGGCCUUUAACAAAGGGAAUAAGAAAUAAUUACUAACUAGAGAAAGUUAAUUUAUUAUAAUAAAGAUUCUCCACAACUCUGACCUUGGGGGUUUGUGUUUUUGUUUAGAAGAGGCUCAUGUUUAAUUCAACUCUAUACUGAAUAGAUUAUGGUGAGAUUUGGUUGUAUUUUUAAUUUACGGUGACCAGACACAGGACUGUAAGCCAGAAAGGUGUUCAUCUCAGAGAAGAGAUGUAUUAGUUUCCUACUGAUGCUCUAACAAAGAACCACAAACUUAGUGGCUUAAAACAAUAUAAGUUUGUUUUCUUACAGUUCUGUCCAUCUGAAGUCCAACAUGUGUCUCACUGAGCCAAGAUCAAGGGUAUAAUUCCUUUCUGGAGACUGGAGAUUCUGGAGAAUCUCUUUUCUUGCCUCUUCCACCUUCUCGAGGCUGCCCACCUUCCUUGGCUCAUGGCCCCUUCCACCAUCUUCAAAGCCAAGCAGAAUCCUUCUUAUAUUCCCAUCUCACUGAUUCUCUUUUUCAUAACACAUCUUCCUCUUCCUUCCUUCUUUGAUAUCUGGAUUCUGAACAUCUUGGGAUUAUGCCGUUCUCUUCCAAAAUUAUGUUACCAGUGUUGUGGCUGCAUUUCAGCGGGAGAGUUAUGAGUGAGGAAAUAGUGAUAAAGGUGAAGGGAGAGAGAGUUGGAAAGUCUGUAGCCAGGCGUCAGAAGCAGAGGCAGAUGUGAGCAAUAGAGAAAGGAAAGGGGGUGGGGCACCAAGAAGUGUGUCCUGGUGAGCCUGAGCUUUGUACGUCAGUAAAAAUUGUGCUUGUCAAGCAAAGGAAGUGUAAGUGCUUCUAGAAAACAUACACUGUUUUUGUUAUUCAGAGGAGAAAUUCAUGAUAAAUUGUAAAGAAGUUGAUGGAUACUUAUUCACCUAGAUAGUGUUGAUACCAUAGUAUUGCAAGGACUUUUCAGAAAAAUAAGAAUUCUGUUUGACUUGUAGAAAUUAUAAUUCCCAUAUUUAUUUCUCAUCUAUCAAUUGCGUUCUACAUCACAACUCUGGGAGAAUAUAAAAAUUGAUCUGUAUCAAACAGAAACAUGAUUCUGGCAGCAAAACAGGCUUCCAUAAAAAUCAGGCAAAGUGGACAAAAAAAAGAGGUGGGCAGAUUUUAUUACAUUUAUUUUUGUCCAUCUCCUCAGUUUUUCCUGAUUUAUUUUAAAACCCUGGUCACAUGGGGCCAGAAUCUAUAUUUAUUGCUACAUAAACAUAUCCAUUAGACCUGAGCCAUAUAAGGAAAAUAUUGCUAAUCUUGGUUCCAGUGGUAUUUUAAAAUCUUAAUAUUCUGUGUUGGUUUAGUAGCUUUAGGCCGUUUUUUUUUUUUUUUUCAGGCUUUGCACUCAAAUAUAAUUGCCAGCUCUUCUCCACUUUUCUCACUUCCUGUGUCCCAUUAAAGCUUAAAAGGAUACCAUUCCUUCCAUGACAUUAUUCUCAUCCCUCCAUUACUCUUUUUUAUUUCCAUUCUUGCAUUUCUGCCUUAGCUGUAUGUUAAUCUCAUACUUCUGCUAAUGAGUAACUCCUUUUGGCUCAAUGGACAAGAGAAAGCAAGCAAAACUUCACUCUUAAAGUAAAUUAUUAAACUAAUUUUUACGUGAUUUCUUUUAAAAUUCCAUAAUUGCUUUUUAAUCAGACACAGUCGUUAAAUUUGAAAUGUCAGCAAGCAGAAUCAAAGGCCCAUAGUUAUAUGCUUUUCAGAAUAAAGUGUUGCUAUUGCCUAUAGUUUUGCACAUUCUGAUAAAAAACAUUAAUAUUUCCUUUGUUUCUGCCUCAAUCAUCAAGUGGUAUAAUGCUAAAAAGUCUCAGGAUGAUGACUGGGAUUUGGUUAGCGGUUAACGAAGGCAAGUCUUCUCAGAACCACAAAGACCUACAGCCUGUGUUUGAACCGUAUUUACUACAGACAGGUCCUGACUCAGGUGCCAAUCUGACAUGACAGAAUUGCUGUACGAAGAAUUCUGGAUCUGUGAUCAAUUAAUAAUGUCUGCAUGGGUGCAGAAUGUGACUAGAAAUAUAUAUACCACAUAUUUACCAUUCUUAAAAUCUUGAUGAAGGCUGCAUAACAGCUUUUUUUUUUCUUUUAAAGGUAGCAUGACUUAAUGGAAAAAACUUGGGUGGGUUCUGGAAUCAGAUCCAUCUGGGUCCAAAUCUCUCUUGUACUUCUGUCUAGUUGUAUGAUCUUAGGAAAGCCAGUUGAUACUUGUGCAAUCUAUGAUAUGGGAUUGAUAAUACCUGUAUCACAUGGUUGUUGGAAUAAUGAAUCAGAAUAAUAUACGUCAAGCCCCUGGGCCCUAGUAGAGUCUCCAUCAGUGGUAGCUGUAGUUAUUUCCUGUGUUAUCUUCUCACAUUGUUACCCACCGAUCUUCCAAGACAUAGUCUUCACCAGACCAUGUGCCUCUAGUGGGAGGGAGGGAUUUCUCAACAAAACCAGUCACAUUAUGCUCCUCCCAACUCAAAUCAGACCAAAACGAAUCCUUCCUUGGGGAAUUUGCAGACUUGAGCUGGCAAAGGAGAGAUGUUUUCUCUCUGUUGACUUGUGCUCCCGGAGCCGAGGAUUCUCAUCCACGUGACAAAGCCUGUCUAUGAUGGAGAGAAUGGACUGAUGGGGCAGUGUCUGAGUGUUUAGUUUCAGUGACUGGACCCCUGGAGCAGCCCCGGAUCCUCUCCUCCCAAAGCCUGGGUGUUUGGUCAUCUUUUCCUUUGAUUCAUUAAUCUCCAUCCCCCACUCCCACCCCAAACACAUAGACGUCUAAUCCCAUUUAACUUUAAACUAGACCCAGACUCAAAACAGUUCUGACUGAUAGGCUAAUUAUUAUUAUGCCUACCUUUUAAGAAGUUUGAUUUCUACAGAUUAGCACUUAAUUCCAUCAUUGCUCCUCUCUUGACAGUUUUUCAUUUUUUCAUGGUACAGGGAAGCUUAAAAUCCAAACAAAGUGGCUUUCAAAGGUUUUGCUUAUAAGCAUGUCAUAUUAAGUAACUGAGCUAUGAAUAUUUACGGUUGAUGACAUAUUGGGAAAAUUUGUUUCUUGCAUUGGCAUAAGUAGAUAACAUUUAUAUCCUAAAAUGAGCACCAUUGAGUGCUCUGUUAGAAGUUUGGUGCCACGUGGUGCAAAUAAAGCCAUAAUCAUCAUUCUAGAACCUGUUCAGGCAAGUUAGCUCUCUACAAAGAAAGCUUCACUCCACCUUACAGACUGUGUCUGCUGGGCUCUGAUUAUGGAGGGACCUGGGAGGACCUCAGGCAAACAUGUCAUCCUGGUGGAAACUGGGCACAAAAGGCAUUUCAUCUCUGUCACCCUCUCCCCCCGACUCCAGUGUCUGGCCAUGGUUGGUCGUCCAGAAAUGUUUGUUUGAUUAGAACCACAAGCAGAGAGAAAACGUAUGAAACUAGUGCAUCUUUUCCCUAAAUCUCACCCCAACAAUUGUCCCACCCUAUCUUCAGGCUUUUUCUGUCUAAAAGCACCUUCCGUUCUACACUCAAAAAUCCCCUUCUCAGCUCUUUUAAGAAAACAUUUCAUUUUCAAUGAAAAUUCUAAAUUCAGGAGAAUGAUUUUUCCAUAAGGUACAUAGAAAACUCAGAUCCACUGCUUUCAACUUACUACUUACACACUUACAAAUCACCCUUGCCCUUCAGAAUAGUUGGAAAAAUCACAAAUUCACAAACUCUCAUAGUUAGGAAAACUGAAAAAGAGGCAGCCAUUCAGUGGUAAGCAUGAAUCAGAGAGCAGACAUUUGCUAUUAAUUUGCGCUUCAACUAAAAGCCGAUAUAAUCCUUACAAUCUGUUAUACCAGUUUAGCUUUUUGUUGACUUUUACUUGUUUCACCAUGAUUGGGCAUUAUAAACUCUUCAUGAACCAAAUCUGAAUUAUGUUUUUAUAAUUAUCUCUUGGUUCCUAGAUAUACAUCAAAGACUUAGUUGAUACUUGAUAACUGAAUAGGGAAUAAUAGAGAAAAUAAUGUCUUUCAGAAGCUGAUAGUCUAGUGGGAAACACAGGAUCAACAUAAAGAUGACUGUAAUUUCCCAAAGAGCAUUCAAAUGAAUAAUUUAACAAGCUUUUGCUUUAAAGCUGACCUAAGACGGCAUUACUCAGUGGGACUGAAAUUGCUGUGCCCAGAAACACAUGGAGAGAGAAACAGCCGUGUGGCUGACAGGGUCUUGGUGCUCUGGCCGGGUGUCAGGCCUGUGCCUCUGAGGUGGGAGAGCUGAGUUCAGGACACUGGUCCACCAGAGACCUCCCAGCUCCACGUAAUAUCAGUCAGCGAGAGCUCUCCCAGAGAUCUCCAUCUCAAUGCUAAGACCCAGCUUCAUUGAACAACCAGCAAGCUACGGUGCUGGACACCCUAUGCCAAACAAAUAGCAAGACAGGAACACAACCCCGCGCAUUAGCAGAGAGGCUGCCUAAAAUCAUAAUAAGGUCACAGACACCCCAAAACACACCACCGGACGCGGUCCUGCCCACCAGAAAGACAAGAUCCAGCCUCAUCCACCAGAAUCCCCUCCACCAGGAAGCCUACACAACCCACUGAACCAACCUUAGCCACUGGGGACAGACACCAAAAACAGUGGGAACUAGGAGCCUGCAGCCUGAGAAAAGGAGACCCCAAACACAGUAAGAUAAGCAAACUGAGAAGACAGAAAAACACACAGCAGAUGAAGGAGCAAAUAAAAACCCACGAGACC
This 4935-nucleotide long non-coding RNA is filed under the name Phocoena sinus (vaquita). Its description in RNAcentral is "lncRNA (ENSPSNG00000013251.1)". Lineage: Eukaryota; Metazoa; Chordata; Mammalia; Artiodactyla; Phocoenidae. The record is from RNAcentral.